ACAUCGUUUUCACGUUUGAAGAAAAUGGGGUGCUUUCGUAAAUUCUCUCUGGCUAUCUUCUCGUCUGAGUGUACCAGAGCGCAGAAUAAUGAAUUUACGAGCGUUCAACACCCGUUGAAUUUGGCCGGUUUUAUGUAAAAGGCAUAAAAGUUUUGCCAGCAGCACAGUUAGUCACCAACGCUCUGGAUAACAAACUGCCUAACCAACUCUGCUAGGGAAACAAAGAAGAUGUACCGAUGUAUACAUUAAGACCCUCAAAAUUUCACAGAUGCACAAUUGAGAGCAUCCUGUCGGGCUGUAUCACCGCCUGGUACGGCAACUGCACCGCCCGCUUCCGCAGGGCUCUCCAGAGGUUGGUGCGGUCUGCCCAACACUUCACCGGGGGCACACUGCCUGCCCUCCAGGACACCUUCAGCACCCGAUGUCACAAGAAGGCCAAAAAGAUCAAGGACAUCAACCACCCGAGCCACAGCCUGUUCACCCCACAAUCAUCCAGUUGGCGAGGUUAGAACUGGUGCAUCAAAGCUGGGACCGAGAGACUGAAAAACAGCUUCUAUCUCAAGGCCAUUAGACUGUUAAAUAGUCAUCACUAGCUGGCUACCACCCGGUAACUCAACCCUGUACCUCAGAGGCUGCUGCCCUAUAUACACAGACAUGGAACACUUGCCUUGAUGCCAGCUUUGCACACUCAUUGCAUUCUCUCAACCAGCUUCAUGAGGUAGUCACCUGGAAUGCAUUUCAAUUACUUUAAUAAUGUUUACAUACUGCUUUACUCAUUUCAUAUGUAUAUACUGUAUUUUAGUCAAUGCCACUGACAUUGCUCAUCCUAAUAUUUAUAUAUUUCUUAAUUCCAAUCUUUUACUUUUAGAUGUGUGUAUUGUUAGAUACUACUGCACUGUUGGAGCUAGGAGCACAAGCAUUUCGCUACACCUGCAAUAACAUCUGCUAAAUGUGUAUAUGACCAAUAACAUUUGAUUUGAUUUGAAGCCCUACAUCAGGGAUCAUCAACUAGAUUCAACAGCAGGUCAAUGUCUUCUUGAGCGGAUGGUCGGGGGGCGGAACAUAAUCACCAAUCAUUUGUAGACUGCAAAUUGAUCAAGAAGACUAAACAGAUAUACACUGAGUACACAAAACAUUAAGAAUACCUACUCUUUCCAUGACAUAGACUGACCAUGUGAAAGCUAUGAUCCCAUAUUGAUGUCACUUGUUAAAUCCACUUCAAUCAGUGUAAAUGAAGGGGAGGAGACAGGUUAAAGAAGGAUGUUUAAGCCUUGAGACAAUUGAGACAUGGAUUGUGUAUGUGUGCCAUUCAGAGGGUGAAUGGGCAAGACAAAAGAUUUAAGUGCCUUUGAACGGGGUAUGGUAGGCUGCUGGGUUUUUCAUCCUCAACAGUUACCCAUAUGUAUCAAGAUUGGUUCACCACCCAAAGGACAUCCAGACAACUUGACAACUGUGGGAAGCAUUGGGGUCAACAUGGGCCAGCAUCCCUGUAGAACGCUUGACACCUUGUAGAGUAAAUGUCUGACAAUUUUAAGGUUUUCUGAGAACAAAAGGGGGUGGUGCAACUCAAUAUUCGGGAAAAUGUUCUCAAUGUUUGGUAUAUUCAAGUGUAUUUUGGAAUAAAACAAUCAUUUCAAACCUACCAUUUGUACAUGAUAACAUCUCUCUAUUAUGCGUGGGAAUACUUGAACAGAUUUACAAAAUUAAAAAUCACUUGGAGGUGAUUUCCUGGUUAUCAUCUUUCAUGUCCCACAAUGAAAAAAGACUAAAACAAAAAACGUGUUUUUUGUUUUUGCUCAAAACUUUGAGGGCCAAAUAAAACCAAUCGCUGCCAGUUGGGGAACCCUGACCUAUAUUAAGACCUAGAAGCUAUGGGUCCAUUACAACAAAAAAAGCUGAACUUCGCACAUACCACUGUGUUAACCAAUGAUAUGUAUAAACCCUGGAACGCUGAUACUAUCUAUUGUCCAAUGAGAGGCUUUGAAGCCACCAGUGGGCCAUAUUGGCACUCCCCAGAAGAAGCAGUUAUCCAUGUAUCUCACAUAAUAUAAUUUCAAAGUAUGAAUAUAAAUAGCACACAUAGAACAUAGAUAUAUACAGCUUCUCAGACUUUCUAUAACUCACAUUUCUAUGUGCAUUUGCCCAGGCUGCCCCAAAAGCUACCUAUUGCGACUUUAAUGGACUGCAUGAAACAAAUCAAAUAAGGAGUGGUAAUGAGGUGACCAAAAAUGGUUGCAAUUGAGAUUAGUUGUGCCGGUAAAUUCAUCACAAGAGCUCAUGAGAGAUCAGCUGCCGAUAUCUGGUCACCAUCGAUGGUUGUAAUAGGCCCCCAUAUGUUUCCAUAUUGGCCACAUAUGUUUCCAAAGGCUGUGUUUACACAGGCAGACCAAUUCUGAUCUUUUUUCACUAAUUGGUCUUCUGUUCCAAUUAGAUCAGCCCUGAAAAAGAUCUGAUGUGAUUGGUCAAAAGACCAAUUGGUGGAAAUAAAUAUUUGAAUUGGGCUGCCAGUGUAAAUGCAGCCAUGCUGAUCAUAUAACUUUUUUUUUUACUGACCAAUGAGAAUGUAAAUGUUAUGUAAGUGGAAAGUAUAAAAGGCUGGUUGAGACUCAUGUAUGUUGACAUUGUAUGCCGUUAAUUAAAGCCUUGAAUUGGA
Long non-coding RNA from Oncorhynchus kisutch (coho salmon), 2653 nucleotides. RefSeq lists it as uncharacterized. The transcript is spliced from 2 exons. Lineage: Eukaryota; Metazoa; Chordata; Actinopteri; Salmoniformes; Salmonidae. The record is from RefSeq and is a predicted model, not a curated record.